Molecule: non-coding RNA, 83 nt
Organism: Termitomyces sp. T32_za158
Lineage: Eukaryota; Fungi; Basidiomycota; Agaricomycetes; Agaricales; Lyophyllaceae
Source: the annotation of a GenBank genome assembly
ACACUGAUGGUGAAGUGGUUAUCAUGCUUGCCUUCCAUCCCUAAUGUGAGCAAGCGGCAGGGGUUCGAUUCCCCUUCAGUGUA